This is a non-coding RNA of Triticum urartu, 332 nucleotides long. The record is from RefSeq and is a predicted model, not a curated record. Lineage: Eukaryota; Viridiplantae; Streptophyta; Magnoliopsida; Poales; Poaceae.
GUGGGAAGGCGAGAGGAACCAGGAGCUCAUCCCUCCUCCCAUGGCUGCCUCGUGGAUCUGGAGGUGCCUGUUGCAGGCGGCUCGAGCGAUGCAAGCCGGCGGCGAACUAGGUCCAUGGACAUUGUCAUAAUGGUCACCUUAUCGCAGUGUAUUAUUUUUGGAUCUCAUAUUCCUCAAGGCGCUCCAUUCUCUGAUUCGAUGUCUGGCGAUCUGAGAAAUAAGAGGAGGAAUAAUCCAGCAGAAGAAUUUGGUGAAGAAGAACAAGAAAAGAAUACCUUUAUCCUGAUAGGCAUGGAAACACCGGUUCGCAUUGAGUGCAUCAUCGCUAAUCA